CCUACGGGUGGCAGCAGUGAGGAAUAUUGGUCAAUGGGCGCGAGCCUGAACCAGCCAAGUCGCGUGAAGGAUGACUGCCCUAUGGGUUGUAAACUUCUUUUAUCAAGGAGUAAAGUGAGGCACGUGUGCCUUUUUUUAUGUUCUUGAUGAAUAAGGAUCGGCUAACCACGUUCCCGGAGCCGCGGUAAUAAGGAGGAACCGAGAUUUAUACGGGUUUAUUUGGUUUAAGGGGAACGUAGAGGGGUUGUUAAGUCAGUUGGUAAAGUUGUCGGCUUAAACGUAAAAGUGAAAUUGAUAUUGGCAGCCUUGAGUACAGUUGAGGUAGGCGGAAUUCGUGGUGUAGCGGUGAAAUGCUUAGAUAUCACGAAGAACUCCGAUUGCGAAGGCAGCCUACUAAACUGCCACUGACAGUGAUGCUCGAAAGUGUGGGUAUCAAACAGGAUUAGAUACCCUAGUAGUC
Molecule: ribosomal RNA, 460 nt
Filed under: uncultured bacterium
Lineage: Bacteria
Description: partial 16S ribosomal RNA
Rfam family: Bacterial small subunit ribosomal RNA
Source: RNAcentral